Molecule: ribosomal RNA, 279 nt
Filed under: uncultured euryarchaeote
Lineage: Archaea; Methanobacteriati; Methanobacteriota
Description: partial 16S ribosomal RNA
Rfam family: Archaeal small subunit ribosomal RNA
Source: RNAcentral
GAGACCCACGCCCACAGUUGCCAGCGUACUCUCUGGAGUGACGGGUACACUGUGGGGACCGCCGCUGCUAAAGCGGAGGAAGGAAUGGGCAACGGUAGGUCAGUAUGCCCCGAAUAUCCCGGGCUACACGCGGGCUACAAUGGUUGGUACAAUGGGUAUCUACCCCGAAAGGGGAUGGAAAUCUCCUAAAACCAAUCGUAGUUCGGAUCGAGGGCUGCAACUCGCCCUCGUGAAGCUGGAAUCCGUAGUAAUCGCGUUUCAACAGAACGCGGUGAAUAC